Stegastes partitus (bicolor damselfish) is the source of this 2116-nucleotide long non-coding RNA. RefSeq lists it as uncharacterized. The record is from RefSeq and is a predicted model, not a curated record. Lineage: Eukaryota; Metazoa; Chordata; Actinopteri; Pomacentridae. The transcript has 5 exons.
GCUGUUGUCGCUGCUAGCGGAUCCAUAACAUCAGGUUACUGGACGGAGAGGCUUUACACACUGCACAUGAUACCAUGUGGAAGUCACAUGAGCGCCGAGGAUGAGGCACGAACAACAAGGGGGCAGACUGAGGAGUGAGCCGCUGCACCGGGUCUCCUGCACGGAGGGGGUCUGCUGCUUGUAAAGAGCCUGCACAAGCAGCUCCCCCCCUUGAUCUCCCUUUCCUCAACAUUUACGAUGAACAACAGCACGACUGAGCCCCCUCCCACAGAUAGGGAUGUGUCAGUCGCCUAUGUGUUGGUGCCAUUUCUCCUCAUAACCGUUAUUGGAAUAGCUGCAGCUGUGAUUAUGUAUAUUCGUAGGAAAAGGAGAGUUGACAGACUUCGUCAUCAGCUGUUGCCAGUUUACACAUAUGAUCCCUCAGAGGAGCUCAAUGAAGCUGAACAAGAAAUCUUGUGGAGAGAGGAGGACACAAGGAUUGUACAAGGCUGGGCCAGAAGUUAUCAACAGCGACGCCCUCUUCUGACCAAAGACGUCAACGCUUGAUGCUCGUGAACCCUGUCGUAGAAUACAAUGUCAGUGCAAAGACGACCCUUCAGCCACACAGAUCAGUCAUUUUUGAAGUCAUGCACAAUACUGCUCUAGUUUUUCUUUACUCCUGUUUGCCAUUAUCACUGAUUACAUCAGCAACAAUAAGCAUUUUCCCAUUUCCUGUGUAAUAUACAAUAUGACUGUUCAUUUGUGAAGCCCUUAUGUCACUUCUGUGUGCCUAACAAACGCAGUACCUUAUUUAUUUGAAAUUAUUUAUUCAAACAUGUUUUUACUGUGGUAUUCAGUGGUAUGACUCAGAGUUCAGGAAGUUGGACGGCAUAAGUUCCUGUAGGUUUACUCUGUUGUUUAUAUUCAUAUUGUUGCUGUGGGCGACGUGUGGCAAGCAGUUGUGUUCCUGUGGGUUGCAGUAGGCAUUUGUAGUGACUGUAACAUAGGGGCUGUGUUUAGUGUGGUAAGAGUAUGAAUGUUGUGCACUAGUUAAAUAUCAGCACUUCUGCUGUAAGAGAGCUUGUGAGCAUUGCUUAGAUUGGUUUCUGUGUCGAGGCUGUUUGCUGUGCUUUCUUUGAUGAAAUGCCUCUAGUGCUCAACAAUCACAUGUGUUGACACGAAACACUGCAAUACCACUUCCAAAAGAGUUUUAAGCUCAAAGCCUCACGUAGAUAAAGUGAAACUAGGUCUCAAGAUCAGGCCUCGGUUCAUUUUGAGUCAAAAAGUUGAACAACCCACUUUGGUUUUAAUUUGCUUAUUCAAUUUAAGCAGCUGCCCUGCAAUUCACAUCUUUUUGUGGUUUAGCCAAAUCCUAUGACUCCUAUCAGUGGCAUGAAAAGCCAGAUAUGGAAGUAAAUAACACCAGGCUCCUCUCAUCCCUAAAAUUGUGGUGACUAGUGCCCAAAAUAUGUCCUGUCUUCAAGGCAUGGCACCAGCAAAUUUACCUCCAGAUGAAGAAUCUGUUCAGAUGAAUUCCAUAGGUCUGACUGUAUCAAGUACUCAGGAAACCUUACCCUUUUUUUUUUUCUAAAAGAAUUAUAACCGUUCCUGGCCUUUAUUUGCCUUGCGUGUGAAUGUAAACUAAGAACAAUAGAACUGUUUAACUGUCCUUGAAAAGGGGACAUUACUCAGUUCAGCAGUUAAUGUAUUGUAAAGAGCAGCUAAUGCUCAAACUUGUGAUGUUAUCUGGUAUGACAUCUAGAGGUGCUUUGAGUAAAGGCCUUUAUGUAAAUGCUUCAUGAUCAUUUCUGGAGCUGAAAUCAUCUCAGUGCUCCCCGAUCAUAUUUCCAUCUCAGUAGUUUCCUCUGCGUUAUCUAGCUUUUUUUUUUUCUAAUGUGAAAAAAACCCAAUGAAACGAGCCAUUCAGAAUUUAGAGUGUACACAUGUUUGAUCAGAUUUGCACUGGUGAACUUUGCAUGGAAGGCUCGGAUUUCACUUGACAGGUCAAAGAACUACUGAUGUAAUUUUGGCAGCACUGUUUCUCCUUUUUAGACUGUUGUACCAUGUUGCUUUGAGAGAGACUUGGCAACGCUGUUGAUUGAGACACUGAAGAUGUAAAUAAAGUAAUAUAACUUUU